RNAcentral lists this small RNA (89 nucleotides) under Sinorhizobium meliloti 2011. RNAcentral's name for it is "putative ncRNA". The record is from RNAcentral. Lineage: Bacteria; Pseudomonadati; Pseudomonadota; Alphaproteobacteria; Hyphomicrobiales; Rhizobiaceae.
AGCGGUCCAGCAGUUCAGGAUAUCGUUGGAAGAGUUCGUUGUAUCCGGCGAUCUUUCGCCCAGGUAACAGGACGGACCACUGAUCACUU